RNAcentral lists this ribosomal RNA (497 nucleotides) under uncultured bacterium. Its description in RNAcentral is "partial 16S ribosomal RNA". It matches the Rfam family "Bacterial small subunit ribosomal RNA", at positions 28 to 507 of the family's 1533-position model. The record is from RNAcentral.
GAUGAACGCUGGCGGCGUGCCUAAUACAUGCAAGUCGAGCGAACAUACGAGGAGCUUGCUCCUCUGACGUUAGCGGCGGACGGGUGAGUAACACGUGGAUAACCUACCUAUAAGACUGGGAUAACUUCGUGAAACCGGAGCUAAUGCCGGAUAAUAUAUUGAACCGCAUGGUUCUAUAGUGAAUGACGUUUUUGCUGUCACUUUUAGAUGGAUCCGCGCCGCAUUAGCUAGUUGGUAAGGUAACGGCUUACCAAGGCAACGAUGCGUAGCCGACCUGAGAGGGGGAUCGGCCACACUGGAACUGAGACACGGUACAGACUCCUAAGGGAGGCAGCAGUAGGGAAUCGUCCGCAAUGGGAGAAAGCUUGACGGAGCAAAGCCGCGUGAGUGAUGAAGGUCUUCGGAUCGUAAAACUCUGUUAUUAGGGAAGAACAAAUGUGUAAGUAACUAUGCACGUCUUGACGGUACCUAAUCAGAAAGCCACGGCUAACUACGUG